This 253-nucleotide ribosomal RNA is filed under the name uncultured bacterium. RNAcentral describes it as "partial 16S ribosomal RNA". It matches the Rfam family "Bacterial small subunit ribosomal RNA", at positions 524 to 776 of the family's 1533-position model. The record is from RNAcentral.
GACAGAGGUGGCAAGCGUUGUUCGGAUUUACUGGGCGUAAAGCGCACGCAGGCGGUUUGGUAAGUCAGAGGUGAAAGGCUACAGCUUAACUGGAGCACUGCCUUUGAAACUGCCUUUCUAGAGUGCAUGAGGGGGAAGCGGAAUUCCGAGUGUAGAGGUGAAAUUCGUAGAUAUUCGGAGGAACACCGGUGGCGAAGGCGGCUUCCUGGCAUGUAACUGACGCUCAUGUGCGAAAGCGUGGGUAGCAAACAGG